ACAAGAUAUUGUACAAGAAUUAUCAAAGAUGUUGGACGAGCACAAUCCCUUUGCUAAGAAAUUUAGGCUUGCCAGGGAAAGGCUUAAUGAACACACAAAUGAAGAAUUUAUCAUCAGAAUUAUUGGGGCUAGAGAAGGAGAUCCUGUGCAGUACAAUAUGCCAACAACCGAUGAUUUAGCCAUGCUUGUUAUUGGUGAUUUCUCACUUGAUACCUUCAAACGAGACAUUAUUAUAGAGACAAGAAAUUUGGAAUUGAGGCGUAUUUCAUCAUUGCAUCCAGCAUAUAUGGCUCUCCAAUAUCCACUUCUGUUUCCAUAUGGAGAGCGUGGGUUCCAAGUUGGUGUAGCAUAUAGUGAUACAAGGGUUAGAGGAACAAAUUCAAGGGCUCAUAUAACCAUGCAAGAAUACUAUUGCUAUCAAUUUCAUUACAAGGUUGGCCAGCCAAAUCCAUUUCUGUCUUAUGGGACACUAUCAAACUAGGCUACAGUUGAUGCUCGUGCCUGUAUUGAUGAAAAUAGACUUAUGUAUAUUCUGAAUAAUCAAGACAAAUUACGAAUAGAAAACCUUCAAGGCAUAUUAGAUGCUGUUAGUAAAGGCUGCAUAAACGGUGACGAAAUGGGAAAAACAAUCGUA
This 634-nucleotide unclassified non-coding RNA is filed under the name Zea mays. Its description in RNAcentral is "misc RNA Zm00001eb201470". The record is from RNAcentral. Lineage: Eukaryota; Viridiplantae; Streptophyta; Magnoliopsida; Poales; Poaceae.